Molecule: long non-coding RNA, 310 nt
Filed under: Salvia miltiorrhiza (redroot sage)
Lineage: Eukaryota; Viridiplantae; Streptophyta; Magnoliopsida; Lamiales; Lamiaceae
Description: long non-coding RNA (SMIL_LNC000674)
Source: RNAcentral
GAGGCGGCGGUCGGCGGUGGCUCGGCGCCACUGUUGUCGCCGGCUGGAGUGAGUAGAGGAAAGAGUGAGACAGAGACGUGGAUCUGGAGCUCGGCGACAGCAGCCUAAUUAGGCUGCGCAGUCGUCGGAAUCGAAGGGGUGGCAUCUGGUAUUUGGGGAUUUAGGGCUUGGAGGCGGCGGCUCGGUCGCCGUUCCGUUCGGAGGCAGAGAGGGAGAUGGAGGUGGCAGCCCAUCGCUGCUGCUUCGUCGAAGAGAAACCGGCGGCGGCUGGGUGCCCCGGUGACUCUGCAUGUGUGUGUGUUUUGUGAGA